GAUGAGAAGCUUCGAUUAAGGUUCGAUUCGAGCGCAGCGAGAAAGCGUUGCCGCAGGCAACGACCCGAAGGGCGAAGCGCGCAGCGCUGAGUCAUCCUUCCCCCACCACCA
RNAcentral lists this small RNA (111 nucleotides) under Salmonella enterica. Its description in RNAcentral is "partial RtT sRNA". It matches the Rfam family "RtT RNA", at positions 21 to 130 of the family's 130-position model. From Rfam's summary of the family: This family represents a bacterial cis-regulatory element known as RtT RNA. The exact function of RtT is unknown although it is thought that it may be involved in changing the cellular response in relation to amino acid starvation. RNAcentral also lists the same sequence under 2 other names. Lineage: Bacteria; Pseudomonadati; Pseudomonadota; Gammaproteobacteria; Enterobacterales; Enterobacteriaceae. The record is from RNAcentral.